This 252-nucleotide ribosomal RNA is filed under the name uncultured bacterium. RNAcentral describes it as "partial 16S ribosomal RNA". It matches the Rfam family "Bacterial small subunit ribosomal RNA", at positions 524 to 776 of the family's 1533-position model. The record is from RNAcentral.
UACGGAGGAUGCGAGCGUUAUCCGGAUUUAUUGGGUUUAAAGGGUGCGUAGGCGGACGCUUAAGUCAGCGGUAAAAUUGCGGGGCUCAACCUCGUCGAGCCGUUGAAACUGGGUGCCUUGAGUGGGCGAGAAGUACGCGGAAUGCGUGGUGUAGCGGUGAAAUGCAUAGAUAUCACGCAGAACUCCGAUUGCGAAGGCAGCGUACCGGCGCCCUACUGACGCUGAAGCACGAAGGCGUGGGUAUCAAACAGG